UUUCACUUUUCUCUCUAUCUCUCUUGGUCUCUCUCUCUCUCUCUCUCUCUUUUUCUUGAUUUUUCCUCUUUUAGUUUUAUUUUCUUUUGUUAAUUUUAGUUUUAUUUAGGGAAUCAAGUGGAUAUAGCAAGGAGAUCAUUAAGGAAAACUUGAAGAAUACAUUGAAGGAAUUACAAUUCGUAUUUAAAAGGGUUUUAUCUCAACUUUUGUAUUCCUUUCAUUUAGUUCUUCAUGUUUGUAAUGAUAUGUUUAUGAGAAUCUUUUUAUUAUUUUGUUAGAAUGAUGAACUAAACAAGUUUAUGUUGGAAUUUAUGUAUUAGCUUAACCUAAUUUCAUU
This 337-nucleotide long non-coding RNA is filed under the name Olea europaea (common olive). Its description in RNAcentral is "long non-coding RNA (OEUR_LNC013470)". The record is from RNAcentral. Lineage: Eukaryota; Viridiplantae; Streptophyta; Magnoliopsida; Lamiales; Oleaceae.